UACGUAGGGUGCAAGCGUUAAUCGGAAUUACUGGGCGUAAAGCGUGCGCAGGCGGCUUUGCAAGACAGAUGUGAAAUCCCCGGGCUUAACCUGGGAACUGCAUUUGUGACUGCAAGGCUAGAGUACGGUAGAGGGGGAUGGAAUUCCGCGUGUAGCAGUGAAAUGCGUAGAGAUGCGGAGGAACACCGAUGGCGAAGGCAGCCCCCUGGGUCGACACUGACGCUCAGGCACGAAAGCGUGGGGAGCAAACAGG
Molecule: ribosomal RNA, 253 nt
Filed under: uncultured bacterium
Lineage: Bacteria
Description: partial 16S ribosomal RNA
Rfam family: Bacterial small subunit ribosomal RNA
Source: RNAcentral